Amblyraja radiata (thorny skate) is the source of this 403-nucleotide long non-coding RNA. RefSeq lists it as uncharacterized. The transcript is spliced from 3 exons. Lineage: Eukaryota; Metazoa; Chordata; Chondrichthyes; Rajiformes; Rajidae. The record is from RefSeq and is a predicted model, not a curated record.
CCGUAUUGUCUAUUGUCUAUUGUACACCCACAAAGGUCCUUGAAAGAAUUCCGCCCCUUUCUUGAACUGUAGUGUUGAAAAUAAAAAGGGGAAAGAAUAUCGUGGUAAUACAGAUCAGUCGUUAAAUGGCUGGAAGGGAUAAGUGACCUUCUCCUCCUUGGGUUGUGUGCUUGUAUCAUCUCUUGAUGAGUUCCUUCUUGACGUGACUUCCAGGUCUGAAGGAAACAAAGGUUGUUCUUUAUGCCAACCACGUGUCUGGACUUUGUUCAGUGUGUGUGUGUGUAUCCCGGGAGAAUUAUCUGUGCUGAUCGCGCAAUAGUCUCUCUGCAGCUGUUGAAAUGAAAGGUUCAUAAGUCCUGGCAGUAAAUAUGCUCGUUUGAUAAUCCUCAAUAAAACACAAAGU